CAGUCGCCACGGUAAUACGAAGGGGGCUAGCGUUGUUCGGAAUCACUGGGCGUAAAGGGUGCGUAGGCGGGAUCUUAAGUCAGGGGUGAAAUCCCGAGGCUCAACCUCGGAACUGCCUUUGAUACUGGGGUCCUUGAGUCCGGAAGAGGUGAGUGGAACUGCGAGUGUAGAGGUGAAAUUCGUAGAUAUUCGCAAGAACACCGGUGGCGAAGGCGGCUCACUGGUCCGGAACUGACGCUGAGGCACGACAGCGUGGGGAGCAAACAGGAUUAGAUACCCGCGUAGUCCCUGUCUCUUAUAC
RNAcentral lists this ribosomal RNA (301 nucleotides) under uncultured bacterium. RNAcentral describes it as "partial 16S ribosomal RNA". It matches the Rfam family "Bacterial small subunit ribosomal RNA", at positions 509 to 807 of the family's 1533-position model. The record is from RNAcentral.